GAUCUGGCUCAGGAUGAACGCUAGCUACAGGCUUAACACAUGCAAGUCGAGGGGCAGCAGAUCGAAAGCUUGCUUUGAUGCUGGCGACCGGCGCACGGGUGAGUAACGCGUAUCCAACCUUCCCUAUAGUAGAGAAUAGCCCGGCGAAAGUCGGAUUAAUGCUCUAUGUUGUAUUUAGAAGACAUCUGAAGAAUACCAAAAGGUUUACCGCUAUAGGAUGGGGAUGCGUCUGAUUAGGUUGUUGGCGGGGUAACGGCCCACCAAGCCCACGAUCAGUAGGGGUUCUGAGAGGAAGGUCCCCCACAUUGGAACUGAGACACGGUCCAAACUCCUACGGGAGGCAGCAGUGAGGAAUAUUGGUCAAUGGACGGAAGUCUGAACCAGCCAAGUAAGCGUGCAGGAUGACGGCCCUAUGGGUUGUAAACUGCUUUUAUACAGGGAUAAAGUGAGGGACGUGUCCCUUUUUGUAGGUACUGUAUGAAUAAGGACCGGCUAAUUCCGUGCCAGCCGCCGC
RNAcentral lists this ribosomal RNA (514 nucleotides) under uncultured bacterium. RNAcentral describes it as "bacterial SSU rRNA". It matches the Rfam family "Bacterial small subunit ribosomal RNA", at positions 15 to 518 of the family's 1533-position model. The record is from RNAcentral.